AUUUGAGAUCUGGUACCUUCGGUGCCCGAGUUGUAAUUUGUAGAAGGCGACUCUGGGGCUGGUCCUUGUCUAUGUUCCUUGGAACAGGACGUCAUGGAGGGUGAGAAUCCCGUAUGGCGAGGAUCCCAGUUCUUUGUAGAGUGCCUUCGAAGAGUCGAGUUGUUUGGGAAUGCAGCUCUAAGUGGGUGGUAAAUUCCAUCUAAAGCUAAAUAUUGGCGAGAGACCGAUAGCGAACAAGUACAGUGAUGGAAAGAUGAAAAGAACUUUGAAAAGAGAGUGAAAAAGUACGUGAAAUUGUUGAAAGGGAAGGGCAUUUGAUCAGACAUGGUGUUUUGCGCCCCUCGCCUCUCGUGGGUGGGGGAAUCUCGCAGUUCACUGGGCCAGCAUCAGUUUUGGCGGCAGGAUAAAUCCCUGGGAAUGUAGCUCUACCACUUCGUGGCGGACGAACUUAUAGUCCAGGGGAAUACUGCCAGCUGGGACUGAGGAAUGCGACUUUUAGUCAAGGAU
Molecule: ribosomal RNA, 507 nt
Filed under: Zygosaccharomyces bailii
Lineage: Eukaryota; Fungi; Ascomycota; Saccharomycetes; Saccharomycetales; Saccharomycetaceae
Description: partial large subunit ribosomal RNA
Rfam family: Eukaryotic large subunit ribosomal RNA
Source: RNAcentral